RNAcentral lists this ribosomal RNA (447 nucleotides) under uncultured bacterium. Its description in RNAcentral is "bacterial SSU rRNA". It matches the Rfam family "Bacterial small subunit ribosomal RNA", at positions 330 to 794 of the family's 1533-position model. The record is from RNAcentral.
UCCAGACUCCUACGGGAGGCAGCAGUGGGGAAUAUUGCACAAUGGGGGGAACCCUGAUGCAGCGACGCCGCGUGAGUGAAGAAGUAUUUCGGUAUGUAAAGCUCUAUCAGCAGGGAAGAAAAUGACGGUACCUGACUAAGAAGCCCCGGCUAACUACGUGCCAGCAGCCGCGGUAAUACGUAGGGGGCGAGCGUUAUCCGGAUUCACUGGGUGUAAAGGGAGCGUAGACGGCCAAGCAAGCCAGGGGUGAAAGCCCGGGGCCCAACCCCGGGACUGCCCUUGGAACUGCAUGGCUGGAGUGCGGGAGGGGCAGGCGGAAUUCCUGGUGUAGCGGUGAAAUGCGUAGAUAUCAGGAGGAACACCAGUGGCGAAGGCGACUUUCUGGACUGUACCUGACGCUGAGGCGCGAAAGCGUGGGUAGCGAACGGGAUUAGAUACCCCAGUACU